This is a non-coding RNA of Culex pipiens (northern house mosquito), 74 nucleotides long. Lineage: Eukaryota; Metazoa; Arthropoda; Insecta; Diptera; Culicidae. The record is from Rfam.
GGCUCCGUGGCCUAAUGGUUACGGCUUCUGCCUCACAAGCAGAAGGUUCAGGGAUCAAAUCCCGGUCGGUACCU